AUAUUAAAAAAUAUAACAAAAAGGUAAACCAUCGAACCGUUCAUCGACCUCGGCUAAUAAACCCUCUCGUCUUCCGCCAACUGACGGGUUAGCAGUUCCAUUGUCAGAGGUAAAGUUGCAAUUAUCCCAAAUUUUACCAACGUCUUUGAUCUAAUUACGACAAAUACUUUCCCGUCGUCGCUGCUACCGUUACAGAGUUAGGAUUCGCGGAACAAAGGGAAGAGAAGGAGACUAGAAUCAAUGACGACGCCGAUGAGAUCGCCGAGAUGGGGUUAUGUUCGAAUAAUAACAGGAACCAUUUUCGGAGGCAUACUUGGAUUCUAUGCUAUGCAUCGUGCUGAACUCAAGUACAAGGAAAUGUGGAACGAGAGAUUGAAGAAAUAUGAAGAGGAGCUCAAAAUGAAGCAAAGUACGGAGACGCAUACCCCCACUGAGUUGUUGGAAGACCCUCUUCCGAAAUAGGUAUGCAAAUCUUCGUGUAAUUUUUCAAAGGCGUGAUUGAGUUUCAACCUCAACUGUUGUUUAUAUCUCUGAAGAGGUAGACAGGGAAAAGCAGAGAUGGUUGCUGCUAUCAUGUGAAGAGAUGAUCAUAGAGAACACCCCCCCCCCCCCCAACCCACCCCACACACAGGGAUGUGUUUUUGUGAAUUAUGUUAUUUGAAGUGAGAUCCUUGGAGAGGAAAAUAACGUUUAACUUAUUCCGCGCCCCCGCCCAAAUUUUUCCUAGCCGACCUUUUUCCCCAUGCAACUCCUCUUUUUUGCCCAUGGAUUGGCUUAAAUUUAAGUGAUAAGUGAAGUUCUGGGUUUUCUGCUUUGGUAAAAGUUGAUUCA
Long non-coding RNA from Nicotiana attenuata, 831 nucleotides. RefSeq lists it as uncharacterized. The transcript has 5 exons. The record is from RefSeq and is a predicted model, not a curated record. NCBI's taxonomy places the organism in Eukaryota, Viridiplantae, Streptophyta, Magnoliopsida, Solanales, Solanaceae.